GGAAUGUCUUAUUUGAGAAAGACAUGCAUAGACUCAGAUAUGACCAGACAGUUUUAAGGAACUAAGGUGGACUUUAUGAAACUUGGAGCCCUAUAGCCCUUUGGAACUGUUGGCCUGGUACCUUGCUUACAGAGUUCCCAACAGCCACACCAGGUGAGUAAAGAAUGUCACUUCCUGGCAGGUGCAGGAAUCUCAGGAUACUUUGGAGUCCUCAGGAAGAGGAAUUUGCCCAAAUCGACAGGUAUUGCACGCAUGUAUGCUGGCAAGUAUGUGGCUUGGCUUCUGGCCUAGAGAGGCUACUAAAAGUUCAACCUAGAGAUUCCUUAUAAGAAGUUCCAGCAAAGCUGAUUCUAAAAGAUCUGUAUGAUCACUCACUAUUCUUGCUGAGCUUACAUAAAUGAUUAGGCCAAGUUUGUUAAAGGUGGACUCAUUUUUCAAAUAAAUGAGUCCUGACUUGUCUCUUUGGAAAUGAAGGCUAUUUUAG
Lutra lutra (Eurasian river otter) is the source of this 484-nucleotide long non-coding RNA. RefSeq lists it as uncharacterized. NCBI's taxonomy places the organism in Eukaryota, Metazoa, Chordata, Mammalia, Carnivora, Mustelidae. The transcript is spliced from 3 exons. The record is from RefSeq and is a predicted model, not a curated record.